AGCAGCCGCGGUAAUUCCAGCUCCAAUAGCGUAUAUUAAAGUUGUUGCAGUUAAAAGCUCGUAGUUGAAUUUCGGGGUCAGCAGGUUGGUCGUGCCAAUGGUAUGCACUGGCCUUGCUGAUUCCUCCCUCUUGAUGAGCCGUAAUGUCAUUAAUUUGGUGUUGCGGGGAAUCAGGACUGUUACUUUGAAAAAUUGAGUGUUUAAAGCAGGCAAGCGCUUGAAUACAUUAGCAUGGAAUAAUGAAAUAGGACGUUUGAUUCCUAUUUU
Molecule: unclassified non-coding RNA, 267 nt
Filed under: uncultured Archaeospora
Lineage: Eukaryota; Fungi; Glomeromycota; Glomeromycetes; Archaeosporales; Archaeosporaceae
Description: sequence contains 18S rRNA gene
Rfam family: Eukaryotic small subunit ribosomal RNA
Source: RNAcentral